Planococcus citri (citrus mealybug) is the source of this 3342-nucleotide long non-coding RNA. RefSeq lists it as uncharacterized. Lineage: Eukaryota; Metazoa; Arthropoda; Insecta; Hemiptera; Pseudococcidae. The transcript is spliced from 4 exons. The record is from RefSeq and is a predicted model, not a curated record.
UUUUCGAAGCUGUGGAAUGGUUUCUCGAUUUUUCAAGUUUAAUUCGGAUCUUAAAUCGUUGCAUUCUUCUGUUAGGUUACGGUUGGUUGUUCGUAACUGGUGGUUCGUAUUUUCCAUGUCUGCUAAUUGUCGGUGUAAGCGAGCAAUCUGCCCUAUAUAAUUAGCUCUGGAUCCGCGUAAUAGAAGGUCUGCGUACACAAAUUUUACUUCUACGUAAUUUUGAGCCAGAAGUAGCGUUCCUGUGCAGUCUUGUUUUACGCAAUGGUAGACCACUAAGGCAUCGCGUUCAAGGUUUCCGUAAGUUUCUUCUACGCAGCUUCGAUGAGCGGUGUGUCCGCAUGUGUAAGCUUUAAUCACCGGUGUGUUUUCCAUGUAACUCUUUAAACAGAUAGAGCAGGCUGGAACGGCAAAGUAGCUUGAUGGUUCAUAUACGUUCAUUUUGGAUUAUCUAUUGAGAAAAUAUCAUCAUGUGUUACUCCAUGUGGUGUGAAUUCGAUUGACUUAUCUGAAUAAGUGUUUCUUACCUUCUUUACGUUCGUACGAGAUGUUUAACGAAAUUUUGCCUUGUAGCGUUUGACGUUGACUUGCUUGCGAAUAUUUUACGGAAUGUACACUAUAUUCACUGGAUAACUUUUGCGAAAACGAAAUUAUUACGUUGCUGAAUUAUACGGCAGUUUCUUUUCCGCGGAAUCGACGAUAAUGUCUAAUUGCCCACUCUGUGUGUGUUGGUACGUAAUUCCAUUCAGUUUCAAAUGAUUUAGUGAACGUUUCACGCUGCGUUUCACUCAAUAUUUCCAGUAUUAUAGAAUUCAUUGUCAGUUUUUUCUUUGUUAAACGUGGAUUAAUUCUGAUAAUGGCGUUAUCUUCGUCAUAAUUUAUCGCUGAAUUGCGUUUACGCAGGUUAUAACGUUGUUCUGCUUCUCGUUUAACUGAUUCACGUUCUUUUACAUCCGGAAUCGUUUUUUCCAGGGUAGUUUCGAAAUCUUUUUGUUCAUUAGUUGACAAUGAAGUUUUCAAUUUUCUUCUGAUUUUAUCGUAUUCGGAAUGUUUACGUCUCUUUUUAUUAGCCACUUUUUUAUCAUAUUCUUCAUUUACGAAAUUUUCGAGUAAAUCUUUAUGUUUCCAGAAUGCAAGAAUUUUUUGAUGUAAAGAGCGUUUAUCAAAUUUCGAUCGGAGUUUAGGCUCCUUUCUAAAUGCCUCAAGUUGAUGUAACGUGAGGUAAGUUACUAUUUGUCUUACGCUAAUGAGUGUUCUGUCUUUCUUUUCUUUCAGAUUUUGUAUUUCGUAACAAUUUCUGCCUGCCCUCUUCACAAUCGCAUAUGGCCCAUUCUGUUUGACAUAAAGUUUAGCGGAAGCAAGUUUAUCUGCUGAUGAUUGACGAUGAUUCGUAAUCAUCACCAGUUCACCAGAUGGAUUAAUGCCUGGUGGUAUGACAUUAGGUCUAUUCGAGCCGUGUCAACUUCUUCCGUAUAUACAGCCUUUCUUGCAAGUUGAUCCGCAGUGAAGUUUCCGUAAUCAGUUUUUCGAGCAUAGGUUUUCCGGAAUUAUUUUUCCAUUUGUUUUCUACCCAUCGAUCACAUUCAGAGUUGAUGGCUAACGUGACAUAUUGAGAAUCCGUGAAAAUCAUUAGUUUCGUAACUCCAUGGAAAUGUUCUUCGAUCCUUCCGGAUGCCAACAGAUUCCGAUACCAGCAAUUGCAUCUUCGUCACCGUUGUUUGCACAAGCUCCAUCUACCCAAACCCAUACGUGACCAUCGGAUGCUGUAUAGACGUCGUUUAACAUAUCUAAUUUCGUAGAUUUAAGUUCUUCUAUCGUGAUAGAUGGUACUUGUUUGUUUCUAGCAGUUUUACGUAAUUCCUUUAGCUCAUAGUGAGCAUUAAUCGGGACUCGGUCGAUAGGUAGGUUCAAAACAAAAUCAUUAAUUUCCCAAAGGUCAUUAGGUAGAAUGCCGACUUCGUUAGGGCAAUUGUUGAUUUCGUCUUCGACUUCUUUAGUGUAGUGAUGCCAUCCUUCAUGGGAAUACGCUCCUCUACAGUCAAAAUUGAUUUUUAGUCGUAAGCGUUCUCCGAUCAUUCUCAUUGAUCGUUCAACUGGGUUGGACUGUGGGUUAUAGGGUGUUGAAUUACCUACGGUGAUUUUUUGUUUUGUAAGGGUUUGAUUCCAAAGUGAAUUACGAAAUUGAACAGCAUUGUCUGUAUUGAUUUUUCUGAUUUUGUACCCUAAAUCCUUGAUGUUAUUGAUUAUGUUUAACAUGCAGUCUGCGACUGUUUCUUGUUUUAUGUCUAACAUAAGCUGUAACCAAAUUUUUCCGGAGAAAAUAUCUUUUGCUACUAAGAGGUAUUUAGGUUCAUUUGAACUGUUUGCAAUCGGUCCUAGGAUAUCUACAGAUAAUACGUCAGCUAGGCAAUGUGCUUCUACAAAUGAAAAUUCUACCGGUUUCUUUAUUCCAUAGGAUUUGUUUGAUUUACAUGCUAGGCAGGCACUGGUCAGGUAUCGAGCAUAAUGUUUUGAAUUUGAUGAAUAAUAAAAUCUUCGGAAAAUUUGGGUCAACUUGUUGGCACCAACAUGUCCAAAAAUAUCAUGUAUAUACAUCAUCGUGUCUGCGAAUAGUUCAUCGGGAAGGACAGGUACGAUUGAGUCAUCCUUAUAUCUGAACAUUAGGAAUUCUCUACCAUUGAUUUCGUGUAUCUCGUAUCUUUUAGCUAAUUGUUCUUUUGCAAGACGUUCUCUUUUUGUGAGUUCUGAGCCGGGUGUUCUUAACUUACGUGUAAUUUUCAUGCAAUUCGGAUCUCUCUUCUGCAUAACAUCGAUUUUGUCUAAACUGCUGAGCAGUUUGUCAACGAUUUUUUCUUGAUGUGUGUCUACUUGUGUUACGAAAUUGAUAACGUUGAUGCUGUUCAAAGUCAAUUCAGGAGCUUGAAUUCCAAACCACCGUUUAUGCUUUUUUCGCAAAUCAUAUAUCAAGUUGUAACAAUUGAGUUGAGUGAUCCAUAUAGCAGCUUUCCGGUGUACUUCGGCUAUGACCUCGAAUUGUGAAACAAUUGAUUUCAAAUCACUUCUAACAUGGAUGGUCCUUCCAUGUAGCCAAAGCUGCAACUUUUUGAUUGUUUUUGCAAGAUUGUACAUUUCUCGUUCUAUGAGAGUAUAUGACUUCUGGUGUUCUUUGAAUGAAAAACUAGAAAACAUUACUAUUUCGUCUUGACCUUCGAAUGUUUGGUAUAAAACUGCAUUCAUAGCAUCAGGUGAAGUAUAGGUAUCGAGCCAUAGAUCAAUUCCGUUUCGGGGGGAUUUUAGAGCAAAAUUUUCCGUGUAUUUUUCUUUAAGUAAUUCAAAAGCUUCUUC